Molecule: long non-coding RNA, 219 nt
Filed under: Panax ginseng (ginseng)
Lineage: Eukaryota; Viridiplantae; Streptophyta; Magnoliopsida; Apiales; Araliaceae
Description: long non-coding RNA (PGIN_LNC003538)
Source: RNAcentral
GAAGAACUAAAGCUAACCAAGGCCAACCACCAAGAAAUUGUCAAGAUGAAUGUUGACCUGGUUCAAAGGUAUGAAAUAAGAAUGGGGAAAUUAAGGAGCUGAAAGCCAGCAAUAAGAGCUUGGCUAAAUUGGUCGAACAACUGGAAUUAAAAGAAUCUGGUCAUCUGAAUAGGCGCUAGAAGCUUGAGGAAGAAAUCCGAGAACUUCGGGCUCUUCGAG